This 460-nucleotide long non-coding RNA is filed under the name Struthio camelus australis. RNAcentral describes it as "lncRNA (ENSSCUG00000015551.1)". Lineage: Eukaryota; Metazoa; Chordata; Aves; Struthioniformes; Struthionidae. The record is from RNAcentral.
GGAGCACCAGACACCAAUUACAAUUUGAGAACUAAAUGCCAUAAUUAACAAGACAUAUACUUUAAUCUAAAGCAACUCAAAUAUGUGGCUGGAUAAAGAAAAAAAGAACACUAGCCUCUUCUAAUUUAGAAAUGCAUGUUCCAGAACCAGACAAGUGAAAAGAAAGGGAGAAGGAACUGUUAAAAGUGGAGCUUUGUGAAGAGACUGUUGACCACUUGUGUUGGUUUUGAGGAUAUCAGCAUAUGCUUCUUUCCUGACACAACCUUAAGCAUUCAGAAAUCCCAAAGGUUAGUAAAUAUUUAUCAAGAGAUGCUUGAAAAAUAUUUUUCUCACAACUGUUUGCUGGCUCCGCUGUGCAGUUUUCUUCUCUGCUAAUAUUGUGGUACAGAUGCACAAGGAGGUGAACAAUUGUUAACGAACUUCAAGAGCAACGCAGCUGUGCCUAAUUAUAUUAAGUCAU